Bos taurus (domestic cattle) is the source of this 548-nucleotide long non-coding RNA. The record is from Ensembl. Lineage: Eukaryota; Metazoa; Chordata; Mammalia; Artiodactyla; Bovidae.
AGGUGGAAGGGAGAGUCAGAGAUUCAAAGCAUGAGGAAUUCGGGCCACACGAGGAGUCUAGGCAGCCUGUAGGAACAGAGAGAAGCUCCCAGUGCCCAGCCAGCCAGGAAACAGGACCUCAGAGCCAUAGCCACAGGGAACUGGAUUCUGCCAGCAAAAGAGGUAGGUUCUUCCCGAGAUCCUCCAGGCAAGAUCCCAGCCCAGUGGACACCUUGAUUUCGGCCUUGUGGGACCCUGAGCAGAAAACCCAGGCAAGUCCAGACUUCUGACCUACAGAGCUCUGAGAUAAUGAAUACUCAGCUCUGCUGUUGUGGUACAGAAGCAUGAUGAAUAUAUAAACAACCCUCACGCUAGAAAACUCGCAGAAAAAGGAGCAAGCGGACCGGCUUUUUUCAACUCCCCGCGGAAGUACUCUCACCGGAACUCCUCCGUGUUUGCGCUUUCCCAUUGGCGGAAGCUUCUGCCAGCUUCCAGUAGCUUCCGCCCACGACUCGGUUGGGCGGAGCUUUCCCUGGAAGUCACUUCCGCUAACCCCGCCCCUCGUUCCC